Molecule: ribosomal RNA, 463 nt
Filed under: Megaselia aequalis
Lineage: Eukaryota; Metazoa; Arthropoda; Insecta; Diptera; Phoridae
Description: partial 16S ribosomal RNA
Source: RNAcentral
GUCUAACCUGCCCACUGAAAAUUUAAAUGGCCGCAGUAUUUUAACUGUGCAAAGGUAGCAUAAUCAUUAGUCUUUUAAUUGAAGGCUGGAAUGAAUGGUUGAAUGAGAUAUAAACUGUUUCAUAUAAAUUUACAAUAAAAUUUUAUUUUUUAGUUAAAAAGCUAAAAUUUAUUUAAAAGACGAGAAGACCCUAUAAAUCUUUAUAUUUAAAUUAUUUUAAUUAUUUAGAUAAUUUAAAUUAUGAUUAUUUUAAAUAUUUUAUUGGGGUGAUAUUAAAAUUUAAUAAACUUUUAAUUUUUUAUUAACAUAAAUUAAUGUAUUAUUGAUCCAUAAAUUAUGAUUAAAAAAUUAAGUUACUUUAGGGAUAACAGCGUAAUUUUUUUAGAGAGUUCAUAUUGAUAAAAAAGAUUGCGACCUCGAUGUUGGAUUAAGAUAUAAUUUUAGGUGCAGUAGCUUAAAUUUA